RNAcentral lists this long non-coding RNA (1025 nucleotides) under Callithrix jacchus (white-tufted-ear marmoset). Its description in RNAcentral is "lncRNA (ENSCJAG00000084018.1)". The record is from RNAcentral. Lineage: Eukaryota; Metazoa; Chordata; Mammalia; Primates; Cebidae.
GGCCUUAUGACCUGUUUCCCUGCUUUCACCUCUGACUCUUUCUGUUGGAGGGGUUGUUCCGUCCCGCUGGUGUUAUUCCAAACUUCUGCCCAGGUCCAUGCUGACAACUUGCAUCACCAGACGGGAGCCAUUGCUCAGAUUUGCAUGGACAGCCCACCAUGCCCCUCAGUCUGAUGGGGCUCUCUGGACCAUGGUUUGCAGGAGGGAUGAGCUACCGGGCGCUGUUAAAACUUCAUCAGUGAGAGGACGCCUUUCCUCCCUGGCUCCCGGUGCAGGACAGGAAUAUCUGGGAAUGAGUCUUUCUGGCAAAGAGAAGCACCUUGGCCCUGCUCUUGAUUGUCAACACUUUCAAGAAAAGUUUCAUCUAAAGGGAGAAAGAGGAAAGAAGAGAACUUUUAUGUGAGGAAUGUGAGCCUUUUCAAAUUCUCAGGCCCAGAAAGGCAUUACAUUGAGACAGCAACCAUGCUCCGCUUUCUUUUUGUACAAUGCUGUAUUUCAAAACAAAAACAACCAAACCUACAAGGUUCACGAAAUUGGACAGUUGUCUUUAUGACACCACUACUGGUAAACCAGGAGGACGGCUGGUGUGCAGACAUCUGAGCAGCUCCUCUAGUUUCAUAGAUAUAAUCUCUCUGAUAUGCAAGGGCUUCCAAUUUUAAGCUCAAUGCUACUUCACAAAGAGAACCAUGUUUGAAAGGAACCGGUUUUCUGUAAUCCUAAACGUUCUAAUCUGCGAAUUAAAAGCCGUGAUUUGAGGACGGUGCACAGGCUUCCAGCUGGCCGCCACUGGCGGAAGUUAAGCAGUCCUUUCUUUGGGGGACACCAGCUGCGGGGGGUCUCGGCGCACCGCCCCAGGGGACAAGGGCGGGAGGGAAAGGAGGGAGAGGCAGAGUCACUGAGUGGUGAGGGAGCUGGUUGGUCGGUUGAGUGGCGGAGGGUGGAGCGGAAGUCUAGACAGCCACUGGGAAAGACAGUCGGUGACAUCACGGAGACGGCGACUUCUAUGCAGAUGAGGCAGCGCAGGG